Molecule: ribosomal RNA, 766 nt
Filed under: uncultured Rhabdolaimus
Lineage: Eukaryota; Metazoa; Nematoda; Enoplea; Enoplida; Rhabdolaimidae
Description: SSU rRNA
Rfam family: Eukaryotic small subunit ribosomal RNA
Source: RNAcentral
UAAAACGCCCGUAGUUGGAUCAGCGGAUUUGGAGAACGGUCUGCCGAUGGGCUGUACUGUUCUCCUGUCCUAUUUUCUCUAGUUCGCUCUAGGUGCUCUUCACUGAGUGUCUAGAGUGGCUGGAACUUUUACUUUGAAAAAAUUAGAGUGCUCAAAGCAGGCGUCUCAGCCUGAAUAGUGGUGCAUGGAAUAAUGGAAUAGGACCUCAGUUCUAUUUUGUUGGUUUUCGGAACAUGAGGUAAUGAUUAAGAGGGACAGACGGGGGCAUUCGUAUUGCGACGUUAGAGGUGAAAUUCUUGGAUCGUCGCAAGACGAACUACUGCGAAAGCAUUUGCCAAGAAUGUUUUCAUUAAUCAAGGACGAUAGUUAGAGGUUCGAAGGCGAUCAGAUACCGCCCUAGUUCUAACCGUAAACGAUGUCAACCAGCGAUCCGCAGGAGUUAUUCAUGACUCUGCGGGCAGCUUCCGGGAAACCAAAGUUUUUGGAUUCCGGGGGGAGUAUGGUUGCAAAGCUGAAACUUAAAGGAAUUGACGGAAGGGCACCACCAGGAGUGGAGCUGCGGCUUAAUUUGACUCAACGCGGGGAAACUCACCCGGCCCGGACACCGUAAGGAUUGACAGAUUGAGAGCUCUUUCUUGAUUCGGUGGGUGGUGGUGCAUGGCCGUUCUUAGUUGGUGGAGCGAUUUGUCUGGUUAAUUCCGAUAACGAACGAGACUCUAGCCUACUAAAUAGAAGGCAAAUUAUUCGUUUGCUGUACUUCUUAGAG